Molecule: ribosomal RNA, 697 nt
Filed under: uncultured bacterium
Lineage: Bacteria
Description: bacterial SSU rRNA
Rfam family: Bacterial small subunit ribosomal RNA
Source: RNAcentral
AGUCGAACGGCAGCACGAGAGAGCUUGCUCUCUUGGUGGCGAGUGGCGGACGGGUGAGGAAUACAUCGGAAUCUACCUUUUGGUGGGGGAUAACGUAGGGAAACUUACGCUAAUACCGCAUACGCCCUUCGGGGGAAAGCCGGGGACCUUCGGGCCUGGCGCUGAUAGAUGAGCCGAUGUCGGAUUAGCUAGUUGGUGAGGUAAUGGCUCACCAAGGCGACGAUCCGUAGCUGGUCUGAGAGGAUGAUCAGCCACACUGGAACUGAGACACGGUCCAGACUCCUACGGGAGGCAGCAGUGGGGAAUAUUGGACAAUGGGCGCAAGCCUGAUCCAGCCAUACCGCGUGGGUGAAGAAGGCCUUCGGGUUGUAAAGCCCUUUUGUUGGGAAAGAAAAGCAAUCGGUUAAUACCCGGUUGUUCUGACGGUACCCAAAGAAUAAGCACCGGCUAACUUCGUGCCAGCAGCCGCGGUAAUACGAAGGGUGCAAGCGUUACUCGGAAUUACUGGGCGUAAAGCGUGCGUAGGUGGUGGUUUAAGUCCGUUGUGAAAGCCCUGGGCUCAACCUGGGAAUUGCAGUGGAUACUGGGUCACUAGAGUGUGGUAGAGGAUAGUGGAAUUUCCGGUGUAGCAGUGAAAUGCGUAGAGAUCGGAAGGAACAUCUGUGGCGAAGGCGACUAUCUGGGCCAACACUACACU